This 534-nucleotide long non-coding RNA is filed under the name Carica papaya (papaya). RNAcentral describes it as "long non-coding RNA (CPAP_LNC004683)". The record is from RNAcentral. Lineage: Eukaryota; Viridiplantae; Streptophyta; Magnoliopsida; Brassicales; Caricaceae.
UUACAUAACAACUAUUUGUUAUGAUUUAAGCCUUGAGCAAGGCUUAGACCUUGCAGUGGUAAUAGACUUUGGCCCACACACUCAAGCCUUGGGCAAGGCUAAGGCAUCGUCAGGAUCACAAAUCUCGGAUACGCCCAAAUAAGCCUCACCCAAGGCUUACAUCUCAGUAAAAGGGAAAAACACAACCAACUUUUAAGUUUAACUGACAGCUAAGGCAACAAGAGGGAGCCAUGAUUGCACCUGACCAAGCCUUGACCAAGACUAAGGUAAUAUAUAAGUUCAUAGACCUCGCACAUAACCGAAAUAAGCCUUGCCCAAGGUUUGUGUCGCGCACAACGACCUACUUGAGAAAAAGGCAAGCUUUUUAAAUCUAAAAAAAGAUCCCAUUCUAGUUGAGAUUUGAGGACCAAAAAUUUGGGAAAAAUUAUUUUGGGAAGCUGAAGAUGAGUCAACAUCAUUGGGAAAGAUCUUAAUCAAAGAAAAAAAAACCCUAGCCUUCUUGGAUUAUAAAAAUCGAGGCUGCCAAGAAUAAAC